Molecule: transfer RNA, 70 nt
Filed under: Anguilla anguilla (European eel)
Lineage: Eukaryota; Metazoa; Chordata; Actinopteri; Anguilliformes; Anguillidae
Description: tRNA-OTHER
Source: RNAcentral
GGCACAGUGGCGCAGUAGGUAGCACUGUCGCCUCACAGCAAGAAUCCGGGUUCGAAUCCGGCCUGGGUCU